RNAcentral lists this long non-coding RNA (1253 nucleotides) under Helianthus annuus (common sunflower). RNAcentral's name for it is "hypothetical non coding rna". Lineage: Eukaryota; Viridiplantae; Streptophyta; Magnoliopsida; Asterales; Asteraceae. The record is from RNAcentral.
GUAGAAGUUUUCGGGUCCCACAUAGCCGGAACCAAGUACUUUCUCCCAUUUAACCCGUGCGCAUUAAAGCUAGCACCCGUAGUCUUAUCCACCAACACCUGACCGGCAUACCCCGGGUACGCACCCGACCCGAAUAUCCCCGUACAAGCCGAAACCGCCUCUAACGGCGCGUUAGCCGGCCCUUGAAAAUACCCUUGGUUAAACGGGUUCGUAACGGCACCGGCCAACACCGUAGCUAAAUUAAUCACCAUUCCGUCCACUCCAACGUCGCCGUUAGGAGAAACUAACGGCGGCGAUUGUGGCCCGUAUAUCGGUUGAUGAAACGGCCAUGCACACUGACCCGGACACUGAGUCUCCGAGUUUCCAACCCACGCGUACGCGACCCGGUUACCCGUUUUCGUCGACCCGUGUGUCCCGCACCGGCUCCGACAAAACCCGUCUACACCGACUUCCUUCGCCGUUAACACGACGUUAAUGGAGUUUUUUUGUGAAACUUUUGUCGCUAAAUAUUGGAUAUGGUAGUUUUUUAAGAACUUUCCCAACGAGUAGUUUUCGUCGAGGAUUUGUUUCCCGACGACCGUUGCUGACGACCCGUUGUGAUAUUUCUCAGUGGUUUUCCACCAUGUUGCGACGGAGGGUGGUGGCGGCGCCGACCUUUUUACCGUAUUAACGGUGUUUAAAGAUUGUAAAAAGUCAACGAUGAUUGACCGUUGGGUGGGUGUAAACUUACCAUACCAGACAAUAUUAACGGUAACGGGGCCUUUUAACAGAGCUCCGUUGUGAUAUUUUAAGACAAGGGGCUGCUGAGUGACCAAGGCUGAAAAAGAUAUUUUGAGGAACAAGAAGAUGAGAAGAAUGGCAAGAUGGUAAUUAUGAGCCAUGAGGAGGGUUAAAGUGGGAAGUGGGGAGGUGGUGAGGAUGGGGGUAUGCAGGGUUUGGUUUAUAUAGGGGAGACAGCUGUAGGGUCAUUAUGGUUUGGGGAUACGUGGAAGAAGGGGAUUGGUGGGAGUGGUAGGAAGCCAGGCUAUUAAAAGCGUGGAUGCGUGUAUGGUGUAUGGAUGAUUAUGAUGUACGUAUCAAUGUUGAUUUGACUCACAUCACAUUUUUUCCAUUUGAGUCCAAUUAUAUGAAUUUUAAUUGGUGUUCUAUUUACUGGGAUGAUAUAUGUGGUGUAGAAAAAUAAAUAAAUUGUCUAUAUCAUGUAUUUUUAUAAGGUUGAUGUACAAAUAUAUUUAUUUUUAUGGGGUCUUAUU